Long non-coding RNA from Callithrix jacchus (white-tufted-ear marmoset), 2077 nucleotides. RefSeq lists it as uncharacterized. Lineage: Eukaryota; Metazoa; Chordata; Mammalia; Primates; Cebidae. The record is from RefSeq and is a predicted model, not a curated record.
CCUGUCUCUCCCAGAGUCACUUGUGGUGGGUGGGAGGCUCACGGGAGCCCCAGGCCCCCUGCAUGACCUCAGGAGGGGCUGCUGGCUGAGUGGAGACCCCCAGGUGGGGCUGCUGCUGGGACCAGCACCAGAGGGACAAGGGUGACGGAGGGAGGCAGUGGGACCAUCUGGCCCUGGGUUCCUCCCUCCCUUCCCCUCCAGGCCUCAGCUGCAGCUCUUGGCCACUGGGCCCCCGUGUGGACACUGUCUCUGAUCAGGCCCAGCUGCGUGGCGGUCACUUGGCCAGGAGUGGUCUCUGCAGGCGACACAGCGGGAGCAGGACAGGCCACUCACAGCCAGCCAGGAACUGUGGGACGGAAUCUCAGGCCUCAUACCCGCCCCAGGCAGGCACGGCCCCUGGGCCCUCAGGUUGCCUCACGGACUGUUUGCUGUGACGUAGCACAGCCCUCUGUCUUCCCACCUUCGGGGUGUCUCAGUUGUCUGCUCACUGGUUGGCUCCAUGCCGAGCAGACUCGACGCACGUCAGUGCUGGCUGUGGUGGCACCAUCGCAGUGACCUCCCUCUUGGUGAAGGGGGUUCUGCUGUUCCCAGGAAGCUGCUGACUGCUCCUGGGUGUGCCUGACAUGCAGCUGCUCUCUUCGAGGGGUGGGCACGGGCACCCUCAGGCCUGAGGCUCUGCCGUCCUCACUGCUGAAAGAGAAGUGUCAACCCAGAAUGCUAUACCCAGUGAGAAGACUGUUCAGAAAUGAAAGGGGCAUCAAGACGUUCUCGGAUGAAGGAAAACCAAGUGCGUUUGUCACUGGUGGACCUUCCCCAGAAGAGUGGCUAAGCAAGGUCUCGAGGCAGAAAUGCAAACAAUGGAAGAGAAAACCGUGGAACGUCGGUAAGGAAGAAAGAACACGCAGAAUUAGGGGUGAAUGUAACAGGUUUCCUUCUCCUUGCGAGUUUUCUAAAUCAGGAUACUGAUUGAUGUGAUUCUCGAUAAAUGCAAAGAUGUUUAUGGCGUGUUGUAGAUGGGAGAACUAAAGGACCCUAGGAGGGGAGGCUUCGACUCUCCCUUAAACUGGUGGAACGCCGACAUCGGUGAACCGUCGUGAGCCACGUGUAAGUGACAACCUGGAGCAGCAACUGAAACAGGGUGUGAAGAGAUACACUCAAAACACCACCAAUAACCCAACAAACGAUCCCACGCCAUGAAGACACUCUCCUGUUUGCUGAAGCUAAUUAAAAUGGAGACUGAGUCUAAAAGAUCCUGAGCAGACACAUCCUCAUAGGACUCAUGAGUGAUGGCAGUCUUGCUUCAUUUGCAAAUAUAAGUGAAACUUUUUUUUUUUUUUGAGACGGAGUUUCACUCUGUCACCCAGGCUGGAGUGCAAUGUCACGAUCUUGGCUCACCACGACCUCUGCCUUGCAGGUUCAAGCAAUUCUCCUGCCUCAGCCCACGCCCGGCUAAGGGGUUUCUCCAUGUUGGUCAGGCUGGUUUUGAACUCCUGACCUCAGGUGAUCCGCCUGCCUCGGCCUCCCAAAGAGCUGGGAUUACAGGCAGGAGCCACUGUGCCCGGCUGAAACCUUUUUUUUUUAAAUUUUAGGAUGGAGUCUCAGUCUGUCAUCUGAAGUGCGGUGGGGUAUAUGGCUGCGGUGCAGUGGCGUGAUCUCGGCUCACCGCAACCUCUGCCUCCCGGGUUCAAGUGAUUCUCCUGCCUCAGUCUCCUUGGUAGUGGGGACAACAGGCAUGUGCCACCAUACCUGGCUAAUUUUUAUGUUUUUUUUUUUUUUGUGGAGACGGGGUUUCAAUGUGUUGGCAGGGCUGGUCUUGAACCCCUGCCUUCAAGUGAUCCACCUGCCUCGGACUCCCAAAGCGCCGGGAUUACAGGCAUGAGCCACCACAACCCGCCCAUAAGUGAAACUUAACUUGAGCCUACAGUGGGACAGAGCAGAUCAGGGAACAGGGUGUCACCAUCCACUUUGGUUUCCUUCUGCGCCCGUCUUCUCAAAGCCUCCACCUGCAUUCCCUCCUCGGAGCUCUUGAACCUCUUCUGGUUUGCAGCUGCUCUAUUCAAAGAAUGUAUUUGCUCAA